AAUUAUAUUCCUUGAUUAAAAAAAAUCAACAGCUUAAUAAGAGAAUUAUUCUGUUCUAAAAUUUUCUUUCAAAAACCGAUAAGUAGUGGAAAUAUGGCUUUAUCAUGUAUUCAAAAUUACAAAACUAACAGAUGUACACGUCUAUGCACAAUAGUAGGUUAUCUCCCAUUUGAAAGAGUUGUCUUUUCUAAAUUUAGAAGAAUAGAGACUAUUUACAUUAUCAGCUGAUAAUGUUUUAAAUAAUGAAAGCGACA
This 254-nucleotide long non-coding RNA is filed under the name Mytilus galloprovincialis (Mediterranean mussel). Lineage: Eukaryota; Metazoa; Mollusca; Bivalvia; Mytilida; Mytilidae. The record is from RNAcentral.